UACGUAGGGUGCGAGCGUUAAUCGGAAUUACUGGGCGGAAAGUGUGCGCAGGCGGCAGAGCAAGUCGAGUGUGAAAGCCCUGGGCUUAACUUGGGAAUUGCGCUCGAAACUACUUUGCUGGAGUGUGGCAGAGGAAGGUGGAAUUCCACGUGUAGCGGUGAAAUGCGUAGAGAUGUGGAGGAACACCAAUGGCGAAGGCAGCCUUCUGGGCCAACACUGACGCUCAUGCACGAAAGCGUGGGGAGCAAACAGG
This 253-nucleotide ribosomal RNA is filed under the name uncultured bacterium. RNAcentral's name for it is "partial 16S ribosomal RNA". It matches the Rfam family "Bacterial small subunit ribosomal RNA", at positions 524 to 776 of the family's 1533-position model. The record is from RNAcentral.